AACGCUAGCUACAGGCUUAACACAUGCAAGUCGAGGGGCAGCACAGAGUGGCAACACUUGGGUGGCGACCGGCGCACGGGUGAGUAACACGUAUCCAACCUGUCCCAUACUCGGGGAUAGCCUUUCGAAAGAAAGAUUAAUACCCGAUAGUAUUAUAACGAGGCAUCUCAUUAUAAUUAAAGAGUUUCGGUAUGGGGUGGGCAUGCGUUCCAUUAGGUAGUUGGAGAGGUAACGGCUCACCAAGCCCACGAUGGAUAGGGGAACUGAGAGGUUGGUCCCCCACACUGGUACUGAGACACGGACCAGACUCCUACGGGAGGCAGCAGUGAGGAAUAUUGGUCAAUGGGCGAGAGCCUGAACCAGCCAAGUCGCGCGAAGGAAGAAGGAUCUAUGGUUCGUAAACUUCUUUUGCAGGGGAAUAAAGUGCAGGACGUGUCCUGUUUUGUAUGUACCCUGAGAAUAAGGAUCGGCUAACUCCGUGCCAGCAGCCGCGGUAAUACGGAGGAUCCGAGCGUUAUCCGGAUUUAUUGGGUUUAAAGGGUGCGUAGGUGGUUUAAUAAGUCAGCGGUGAAAGUUUGCAGCUUAACUGUAAAAAUGCCGUUGAAACUGUUAGACUUGAGUGUAAAUGAGGUAGGCGGAAUGCGUGGUGUAGCGGUGAAAUGCUUAGAUAUCACGAAGAACUCCGAUUG
RNAcentral lists this ribosomal RNA (689 nucleotides) under uncultured bacterium. RNAcentral describes it as "bacterial SSU rRNA". It matches the Rfam family "Bacterial small subunit ribosomal RNA", at positions 32 to 715 of the family's 1533-position model. The record is from RNAcentral.